ACUCCUCAUCGCAUGGUGGGGGGUGGAAAGCUUUUUGUGGUUUUGGAUGGACUCGCGGCCUAUCAGCUUGUUGGUGAGGUAAUGGCUCACCAAGGGCGACGACGGGUAGCCGGCCUGAGAGGGUGACCGGCCACACUGGGACUGAGACACGGCCCAGACUCCUACGGGAGGCAGCAGUGGGGAAUAUUGCACAAUGGGCGAAAGCCUGAUGCAGCGACGCCGCGUGAGGGAUGACGGCCUUCGGGUUGUAAACCUCUUUCAGUAGGGAAGAAGCGAAAGUGACGGUACCUGCAGAAGAAGCGCCGGCUAACUACGUGCCAGCAGCCGCGGUAAUACGUAGGGCGCAAGCGUUAUCCGGAAUUAUUGGGCGUAAAGAGCUCGUAGGCCGUUUGUCCGUC
RNAcentral lists this ribosomal RNA (398 nucleotides) under Arthrobacter sp. SO3-14. Its description in RNAcentral is "bacterial SSU rRNA". It matches the Rfam family "Bacterial small subunit ribosomal RNA", at positions 173 to 589 of the family's 1533-position model. Lineage: Bacteria; Bacillati; Actinomycetota; Actinomycetes; Micrococcales; Micrococcaceae. The record is from RNAcentral.